UAAGUUGGUAUUUGUUUGGAAUUGGUGGCUGAGGAUGAGAACCGGAGGAACGGAUGAAUGGUGAGAAGAGAGGAAAAAAGCAGGAACGUUGAAAAAUAUGAAACUGAAUUAGCAGAAUAAUAUUAUGAAAUUGAAAGCUAUUCCUUCAUCGCGUAAUUCCUUUGUAGUAGGUGGAGACUGCAAUCACAAUGUUGCUGCUUCUUCAUCUUCUUCUUCAUCAUCAUCAUCAUCCUGUCACAGACAAAGCAUUGUGAUAGUUGCAAACAAAAACAGGAAGCAGCACGAGACUCAGGGUUCCGAAUCCACUCCUCCAAGAAUCACAUCCAACGUCAAGCAAAACCUCCGCUUCCUCAAGCUAUGGAAGAGCUUCCAAAGUAGAAAUUCUGCAACUCCAAGACCUUCAACCAGUUACCGCAAGAAGAAGGUGGAGAAGGAUGAGGAUGUUGUGGACACCGACCUCUAUCGUGACCCCACCUCCUCUCUCUACUAUACGAACCAGGUGGGUAUUGACAAUGCCGUCCCUGUAUUGCUUGUGGAUGGCUAUAAUGUGUGUGGAUAUUGGAUGAAACUCAAGAAACAUUUCAUGAAAGGAAGACUUGAUAUUGCUCGCCAAAAGCUAAUUGACGAGCUUGUGACCUUCAGCAUGCUUAGAGAGGUCAAAGUGGUUGUUGUCUUUGAUGCAAUGAUGUCUGGACUCCCCAGCCACAAAGAAGAUUUCGCAGGUCUUGAUAUUAUUUUCUCAGGGGAAACAUGCGCUGAUACAUGGAUUGAAAAAGAGGUUGCAGCUUUAAGAGAGGAUGGUUGCCCCAAAGUCUGGGUAGUCACUUCUGAUCAUUGCCAUCAGCAAGCAGCACAUGGAGCUGGAGCCUUUAUUUGGAGUUGCAAGGCGUUGGUAACAGAGUAGAUCAAAGCAUCGCAAAAGGAGGUUGAAAGGAUGCUUCAAGAGCAAAGUUCCACCUCUUUUCAAGGUAGAUUAUUGAAGCACAAUCUUGAUGCAGAAGUAGUGGAUGCCCUAAAGGACCUGAGGAAACAACUAUCUGAAAAUGAGUUGAAGUAAAAUAUGAUGUCUGACAGAAAAAUUCUCUACAAGGAAAUAAUUCUACUUAGCAGAUGACCAAAACUCGUUUAGGAGUAAUGCGAGUAUUUUUGUUACUUUUUAUUGUUUGUUAAUUAGCCUAUAAGCAUUUGUAUAUUUUUUUUCACGACAUUUAUAAAAAAGUGGUUUAACGUAUUGAUUCAAACCUCAUUAUCCAGUUGAUUAUUGAAAUGAAAAGAACAUAUGAUUUGGGA
Unclassified non-coding RNA from Vigna unguiculata (cowpea), 1290 nucleotides. NCBI's taxonomy places the organism in Eukaryota, Viridiplantae, Streptophyta, Magnoliopsida, Fabales, Fabaceae. The record is from RefSeq and is a predicted model, not a curated record.